CCUACGGGAGGCAGCAGUGAGGAAUAUUGGUCAAUGGACGAGCGUCUGAACCACCCAAGUAGCUUGAAGGAUGACUGCCCUAUUGGUUGUAAACUUCUUUUAUAUGGGAAUAAAAUGUUCCACGUGUGGGAUUUUGUAUGUAACAUAUGAAUAAGGAUCGGCUAAAUCCGUGCCAGCGGCCGCGGUAAUAAGGAGGAUCCGAGCGUUAUCCGGCUUUAUUGGUUUUAAAGGGAGCGUAGGUGGAUUGUUAAGUCAGUUGUGAAAGUUUGCGGCUCAACCCUAAAAUUGCAGUUGAAACGGGCUGUCUUGAGUACAGGAGAGGUAGGCGGAAUUCGUGGUGUAGCGGUGAAAUGCUUAGAUAGUACGAAGAACUCCGAUUGCGAAGGCAGCUUACUGGACUGCAACUGACACUGAGGCUCGAAAGUGUGGGUAUCAAACAGGAUUAGAUACCCCUGUAGUC
This 460-nucleotide ribosomal RNA is filed under the name uncultured bacterium. RNAcentral describes it as "partial 16S ribosomal RNA". It matches the Rfam family "Bacterial small subunit ribosomal RNA", at positions 338 to 795 of the family's 1533-position model. The record is from RNAcentral.